Molecule: non-coding RNA, 79 nt
Organism: Pocillopora verrucosa
Lineage: Eukaryota; Metazoa; Cnidaria; Anthozoa; Scleractinia; Pocilloporidae
Source: the annotation of a RefSeq genome assembly
UCCUCGGUAGUAUAGUGGUGAGUAUCCCCGCCUGUCACGCGGGAGACCGGGGUUCGAUUCCCCGCCGGGAGGCCGGGAA